AAUGGGGUCAAUUGCUACAAGAAUUAAAAAUAAUAAAGUAGCCAGAGCAAUUGUAUUGUAGCUUGUAUGAUUAGGGUGUCUCCCUUCAUCUCACAUCUUUUGUCAGAGAGAGGAUGAUAGAGAUAAUUCAUGGAUCAAGAUUAUUCACCUUGGCCAUGCUUUCCUAUAUUAUUAAGCUUGUAUACAUAGAACACUCAGUUGCUAGCUUAUCCCAACUGGAAAGCAAAUGCCAAGCAUGAGCACACAAUGAAACAAAAAAAUGGGAGCCCAAUAGUUUUCAAACUCUUUUAAUGCCUUAGUACGAAAAUUCUCGCAUUUUAUCUUGGUAUCUAGAUAUGAUAAGGAUGCUUCCACCAAUGCAAAUAAGUCUUCUCAUAAUGUAAAAGAAAAUCAUAAUCAAGUAAAACCUAAUGCAACAUAUCUAGUGAUCAUUUUCUUGAAUUCUACUGCAUUUCAUGGAUUCAUUAUACAGAAUUUAUAUUGCUUCAAACAACUAACGCAGAGAAUUAAGCCUUUUGUAAACCUUUGAAGGGUGAAAAUAAUUGAAUGUAAAAUACUAACCAUUCUCUUCAUGAUUUCU
RNAcentral lists this unclassified non-coding RNA (580 nucleotides) under Hevea brasiliensis (rubber tree). Lineage: Eukaryota; Viridiplantae; Streptophyta; Magnoliopsida; Malpighiales; Euphorbiaceae. The record is from RNAcentral.